GUCCUGAUUUGAACAGUUGGCUGUUAAAUCACAGAGAUGUUUCACUACAAGGCUGAACAGAUGGGCUGUUUCCAUCCUUAGAGCAAAAUUUGUCCCAAUGCCUUUACCUUGUGCUUGUGCCACCAGCACAGUGGCAUAGAGCUGCCACUCAAUGUCCCCCUCCUCAUCUGCCAACUGCAGGGACUUCUGCCCGUAAUUUUGGGCUUCUUCAGCUUGAUUCAGCUCCAUGUAACAUUGGCCGAUUUCGUGGAACAGCCAGGUCUUCUCCAGGCUGGAUUUUGCCAUCGGAAUCUUCUCCUCCCAACUUCAAGCAGAGUCAGACAGACAUUUACAACUCUCACAAGUGCAGUUAUAAUUUCAGCCACUAAUUCUACAGACAAAAGGCUUCCAGGUUCUGUUGGUAUGAAAACAUCACAGCCCCCUCGCCAGCAGUAUGAAUAAACAAACUGAAAAGCCAUUAUCUAUGAAUUCAAAAUAUAACCUUAUGCCUUUUCUAUUACUAAUUUUACAUACGUGUCAACAGCUUGCUGGAAUUUGCCCAUUCUGCCAUAAACUCUGCCGAUGUUAUCAAGGGCUCUGGAUAUGGCAUCCGGCAGGUUGCUGCAUUGAAAAGAAAAAGAAAUUAUAGUCACUGAAAUAGUCUUGUUCCUGGUACAACCUGUGUUUCUCCAGCCCUUGUGCUUUAUUUGGUGCCCACUAUGACUCCAGCCAGGACACCUACACAUAUCGAUGUCCUCCAUGCUCUUCAUGAUGUAUCUGCCAAUAUCAGCUGGUUUUUGCUUCUUGUCCCGGAUCCACUUUUGCUUCCGGAGCUUGCGCUCUUUCACACGGGCAUAAAUAGGCUUCUGCUGCUGCCAGAACUCACUCCGUGUGUCCAGGACGCCGUUCUGCGACCUGAGCCAGCAGUUAUGAAAGCUCCAUUGCAAGAGUCAACAGUUUCACUGGUCUUAUGCAACGUGAAUUGGAGGAAAGUCAGGAUCUCAGGACGGCCAGUCUCAGGUAACAAGGCAAAUUUCAUUACGAACUUUGAAUAUUAGGAUAAAGAUCUAAAAAUGGAUCCUGUAAUCAGCAGGGCUGUCUGUAGAUGAGCGGCUUUCUUCUGUAUCACCUAGAACGUUUUCAUGGUGACUUGGGAAAGUUAAGUCAGUGUCAUCAUCUACUUACAUAACUGCUGCUAUUAGACCCUGUGUAUAAACAGGCAUUCAGCCAAAAAAAAAAAAGAAAAAGAAGAAGAAAAGAACAGGGCUGUGCUCUUUUUGGUGCUUCCUGGUUUCAUCUGAGAACAGGCAUCGAGCACAUGCAUCUAGAAGCAAAGAGAAUCUGUUGUUGCAGGGUCCUUGGCUCCCUUGCAGAGGUAAUUUGCCACCAGCUGUCCCCAAACAGCUCCUGGCUGCGCAUGUGGGGGCCAUGAAAUGGAACA
This is a long non-coding RNA of Calidris pugnax (ruff), 1420 nucleotides long. RefSeq lists it as uncharacterized. The record is from RefSeq and is a predicted model, not a curated record. The transcript has 3 exons. NCBI's taxonomy places the organism in Eukaryota, Metazoa, Chordata, Aves, Charadriiformes, Scolopacidae.